RNAcentral lists this ribosomal RNA (401 nucleotides) under uncultured bacterium. Its description in RNAcentral is "bacterial SSU rRNA". It matches the Rfam family "Bacterial small subunit ribosomal RNA", at positions 356 to 773 of the family's 1533-position model. The record is from RNAcentral.
GGGGAAUAUUGCACAAUGGGGGAAACCCUGAUGCAGCAACGCCGCGUGAAGGAUGAAGGUUUUCGGAUUGUAAACUUCUUUGAUGAGGGACGAAUAAUGACGGUACCUCAAAAACAAGCCACGGCUAACUACGUGCCAGCAGCCGCGGUAAUACGUAGGUGGCAAGCGUUGUCCGGAGUUACUGGGUGUAAAGGGCGUGUAGGCGGGAAGAUAAGUCAGAUGUGAAAUUCCAUGGCUCAACUGUGGCGCUGCAUCUGAAACUAUUUUUCUUGAGUGAUGGAGAGGAAAGCGGAAUUCCUAGUGUAGCGGUGAAAUGCGUAGAUAUUAGGAGGAACACCAGUGGCGAAGGCGGCUUUCUGGACAUUAACUGACGCUGAGGCGCGAAAGCGUGGGGAGCAAAC